GGACGUGAGGGCGAUCUGGCUGCAACAUCUGUCACCCCAUUGAUCGCCAGGAUUGAUUCGGCUGACCUGGCUGGCUAGGCCGGUGCCCCCUUCCUCCCUUGCUGCCCCACGUGUGUCCUUCCCGAAGCUGCACACUCGGUGGCAGAGGACGACCUUGCCCCCUAGAGGAGGAACCGUCUUCGGUCAAGGGUAUGCGAGUAGCCACACUGCCCUGCAGGACCUCCAAACAAGCUCACAAUACGCAGCUCAGGGGCAGAAUCAUUUUCAGAGACACGAGGUGCUGU
Molecule: small nuclear RNA, 284 nt
Filed under: Microcebus murinus (gray mouse lemur)
Lineage: Eukaryota; Metazoa; Chordata; Mammalia; Primates; Cheirogaleidae
Description: 7SK RNA (ENSMICG00000023005.3)
Rfam family: 7SK RNA
About the family: 7SK was discovered as an abundant small nuclear RNA in the mid-70s but a possible function has only recently been suggested. Two independent studies have found that 7SK RNA binds the CDK9/cyclin T complex (known as elongation factor P-TEFb).
Source: RNAcentral